GGAAAGGAUGUAGUUCAGUAGUAGAACAUCUGCUUCUCAUGCAGAAGGUCCCAGAUUCAAUCCCAGCAUCUCCA
This is a non-coding RNA of Podarcis lilfordi (Lilford's wall lizard), 74 nucleotides long. NCBI's taxonomy places the organism in Eukaryota, Metazoa, Chordata, Lepidosauria, Squamata, Lacertidae. The record is from the annotation of a GenBank genome assembly.